RNAcentral lists this unclassified non-coding RNA (838 nucleotides) under Hevea brasiliensis (rubber tree). Lineage: Eukaryota; Viridiplantae; Streptophyta; Magnoliopsida; Malpighiales; Euphorbiaceae. The record is from RNAcentral.
GGGAUCUCAAGAAGAAAUGGUACAAAAUUACUAGUCUUUAUGACCACAAGGUCAAUGUAUGCAAGUACCAAAACGAGAGGGGGAUUUACAGUGUAACAGAAACAAAGUGGUGGUCAGUUGCACUCAACACCAGCUUCUGCAGCACGGCGAGGCUUGUUUUUCCGCCUAUGACGGGAAGCAGUAUUGGAUUCAUCAGUUGUUCCAUUACCAUUUUCCUCUUUUACUGAAUCAUGCUUUUCUUUCACCCGAGUAUUCCGUCUCCUCUUGUUCCCAUUGAUCUCCAAGUUUUGAAUUCCAAGCUCAGAAUCAUCCUCCUCUUCAAUCAUCUCAACUGCUUCUUCAUCAAUGUCAUCUUUGAGUGAUUUUGUUGGCCUUCCUCUCCUCUUCUGUGGAGGGAUCUUUUCUUCCUCAUCACUUCCUGGAUCAUCAGUCAAUUUCUUACCCUUUCCUCUACCUCGACCCAUUUGCCUGCAAAUGACUCACUGGAGCAAAAAUAAUCAGUCAAACCAUGAGAUGAAACUUCAAGAACACGUCGACCCAGAUUUGUUUACCUCGAAUAUAUACCCUCCUAGCCACUAAAAUCAGCAAAAACGAAAAGGGUCAAGAACAGAUCCAGAAUAGCUUGCAACCCAAAUACAGAAAGUUAAUAAAAAUGAAGUCUUGGUCGUCAACUGAGAUGACAGUAGAGCUCCUCCAUCAGCAGAAAAAGAAACAUGGAACAGAGAGAGAGGAGAGCUAAAGAAGAGUGGAAAAGGAUAUUUGCUCAACGGUUGUGUAGAGGCUGCAAGUGUGAGUUAACUUAGCUACAUAAGGAGAGAGUAUGGUACUCCCAAUCUCU